UCCCUGGUGGCUCAGACAGUAAAGAAUCUGCCUGCAAUGCAGGAGACCCAGGUUCAAUCCCUGGGUAGGGAA
Molecule: transfer RNA, 72 nt
Filed under: Ovis aries (sheep)
Lineage: Eukaryota; Metazoa; Chordata; Mammalia; Artiodactyla; Bovidae
Rfam family: tRNA
About the family: Transfer RNA (tRNA) molecules are approximately 80 nucleotides in length. Their secondary structure includes four short double-helical elements and three loops (D, anti-codon, and T loops). Further hydrogen bonds mediate the characteristic L-shaped molecular structure. tRNAs have two regions of fundamental functional importance: the anti-codon, which is responsible for specific mRNA codon recognition, and the 3' end, to which the tRNAs corresponding amino acid is attached (by aminoacyl-tRNA synthetases). tRNAs cope with the degeneracy of the genetic code in two manners: having more than one tRNA (with a specific anti-codon) for a particular amino acid; and 'wobble' base-pairing, i.e. permitting non-standard base-pairing at the 3rd anti-codon position.
Source: Rfam by way of RNAcentral